RNAcentral lists this long non-coding RNA (718 nucleotides) under Homo sapiens (human). RNAcentral's name for it is "long non-coding RNA NONHSAT180165.1". The record is from RNAcentral. Lineage: Eukaryota; Metazoa; Chordata; Mammalia; Primates; Hominidae.
GCGGCCGAGGAGGGUCGCUGUCCACCCGGGGGCGUGGGAGUGAGGUACCAGAUUCAGCCCAUUUGGCCCCGACGCCUCUGUUCUCGGAAUCCGGGUGCUGCGGAUUGAGGUCCCGGUUCCUAACGGACUGCAAGAUGGAGGAAGGCGGGAACCUAGGAGGCCUGAUUAAGAUGGUCCAUCUACUGGUCUUGUCAGGUGCCUGGGGCAUGCAAAUGCUUCCUGCUUUUCCGAAGCCUUCCCCGACAUACCUUCGGACUAGUGCAGAGCAAACUCUUCCCCUUCUACUUCCACAUCUCCAUGGGCUGUGCCUUCAUCAACCUCUGCAUCUUGGCUUCACAGCAUGCUUGGGCUCAGCUCACAUUCUGGGAGGCCAGCCAGCUUUACCUGCUGUUCCUGAGCCUUACGCUGGCCACUGUCAACGCCCGCUGGCUGGAACCCCGCACCACAGCUGCCAUGUGGGCCCUGCAAACCGUGGAGAAGGAGCGAGGCCUGGGUGGGGAGGUACCAGGCAGCCACCAGGGUCCCGAUCCCUACCGCCAGCUGCGAGAGAAGGACCCCAAGUACAGUGCUCUCCGCCAGAAUUUCUUCCGCUACCAUGGGCUGUCCUCUCUUUGCAAUCUGGGCUGCGUCCUGAGCAAUGGGCUCUGUCUCGCUGGCCUUGCCCUGGAAAUAAGGAGCCUCUAGCAUGGGCCCUGCAUGCUAAUAAAUGCUUCUUCAG